UUAGACGACAUAUGGAAACUUGUCAGACAGAACACGCGCCACAAGACCCAACACAAACCUAACUCUCACAAUAUGGUUCUGGACCUUCCAGUAUAACAUCAUUCAGAUAUUCACAACAGAACAUGCGAGAAGGAUUGGCUCGGUAUAUUGCUGCAGCAGAACAACCUUUAACAUUUUCAGAAGAUGAACGUCUAAUAAUUUUUUUGCAAAGGUAUGUUCAGCCUCAACUUAAGAAAGUGCCUAGAAAUACAUUAAAACGUGAUUUAACUAAAAUUUUUCAUGACAUGAAAAAACUUUUAAUUAAUAUUUUUAUCAAUUUUAAUGGUGUUAUUUCAAUUUCUUCUGAUUGUUGGACUGGUAUUAAUAUGGUUGGUUAUUUUUGUGUGACUUUGCACUCUAUACAUGAGAUUAAUGGUAAAUGGAGGUUGGAAAAAAAAUUGCUUGCAUUUCGUGAAUUAGAAUAUCCUCACACUGGUUCAGUAAUUUAUGUAGCUAUAAUGUCUAUUUUAAGAGAAUAUAAAAUUACUGAUAAAUUGUUUAGCAUAUCAUUUGAUAAUGCAUCUGCCAAUACAGCGACAAUUGAUAUGUUUUUACGGAAUAUUUCUACUCUCAUGCCUGCAUGUGGUUCAAAAAGUUUUCAUGUGAGAUGUGUGUAUCAUAUUAUUAAUUUAAUUGUUCAAGCUGGUAUGACUUAUAUAAAUCAUUAUUUAGAAAAAAUUAGAGCAGCCAUUUUAUAUAUUAGAGCACCUUCAAGACGUCAACAAUUUUUGGAGACGUUGAAAAUUUUUGGAUUGAAAAGGAGAAAAUUCAACCUUGACAUGAAAGUUCGUUGGAAUUCUACGUAUUUAAUGUUGCUUUCUUGUCAAAACUAUUCUGAAGCAAUUUCUAGUUUUUACAAUGAGAGAAUGAAUGAUGAAGAUUAUCAUAUCACUGAUUAUGAUUGGAAUGUUGCAUUUAAAUUUAUGGAUUUUUUAAAGGUAUUUUAUGAUGCUACUCUUCCAUGUUCUACUGUUUAUGAGCCUACUUCAUGUAGAGUGUUAAUGCACUUGUAUAAUAUAAGUUAUACUUUUAAGACUUUUAGAGAGAAUAUUAUGUUUAAAAAUAUUUGUGAUACCAUGGAGGAAAAAUUCCAAAAAUAUUGGAAAGAUAUUCCCCACCUAUUUAUUUUUGCAACAGUGUUGGAUCCUACAAUCAAGGAAGUUGGUGCAAAAGUUUUAGUUGAGGGUAUUAGUGAAAAUUUACAAACCGGGCUUGAUACAAAUUUUGAUACAAUUAUGUCCUCUAUGCAUGAACUUUUUAAUUUUUAUCGAAAUAAAUUCGAAUCAAGCAAUACAUAUUCUAAUGUUCAACAAGCAUCGACUUCUUAUAAAAAUCCAGCUCACCUUUUGUUACUCAAAGGUAAGGGUGUUGCCUCUAGUAUUGAUACUAAUCGUAAUGAAUUGCAAAGAUAUUGUUCUGCCAAUCUUGAAGAUUUAGCAACUCCUUCACAAUUGUAAAAUUUUGAUAUUUUAGAAUUUUGGAUGGGUAAGACAUCUUUUUUUCCCUAUGUUAUUCAUUAUGGCUCGUGAUCCACUAACCCCUCCAGCUUCGACUGUAGCAUCAGAAUCAGCUUUUAGUACA
This 1620-nucleotide long non-coding RNA is filed under the name Citrus sinensis (sweet orange). Its description in RNAcentral is "long non-coding RNA (CSIN_LNC003149)". The record is from RNAcentral. Lineage: Eukaryota; Viridiplantae; Streptophyta; Magnoliopsida; Sapindales; Rutaceae.